AGACGGAGGGUGCAAGCGUUAAUCGGAAUUACUGGGCGUAAAGCGCUCGUAGGCGGCUUGUUAAGUCGGAUGUGAAAGCCCCGGGCUCAACCUGGGAACUGCAUUCGAUACUGGCAGGCUAGAGUAUAGUAGAGGCAAGUGGAAUUCCGGGUGUAGCGGUGAAAUGCGUAGAUAUCCGGAGGAACAUCAGUGGCGAAGGCGACUUGCUGGACUAAUACUGACGCUGAGGAGCGAAAGCGUGGGGAGCAAACGGGAGUAGAAACCCCGGUAGUCC
Molecule: ribosomal RNA, 274 nt
Filed under: uncultured bacterium
Lineage: Bacteria
Description: partial 16S ribosomal RNA
Rfam family: Bacterial small subunit ribosomal RNA
Source: RNAcentral